CAGUGUGUUAAAUUUAAAUUCUGUUAGUGCUGCACUAAAAGAAUUGUUAGUAAUAAGUCCAUGCAGCGAAGGAACUGAAGAAUUGUGGGACAGUAUUUGGGCGGAAAAUGGGUGUGGUAUGGAAACACAGAAAUGGCAUGAGUUCAACAUGAAACAUGGAUUAGAAUUUUAGCGGGGGUUCAAGUCAAGUCUGGAAGUGUUACAGGAUGGAAGAGUGAGCCUGUAGUUGAAAAAACACUGAGAGUGCAUUACCAUUAAGGUGUGAGGUAAAGUAAUAGAGUAAUGCAAAUUGUCUAAUGAGAAGUACCACCUUGUGUUAAUGAAUCCGUUACAACAGCAAUCCUUUAUAGUUCUGACAGAAGAAUAUGCUCGCAAUCAACUCACGAAUCAUAUGAACAAUAAAUUUUGAUCUGAAAAGGUUUCUUGUUUGGGGCAAGGUCAUGAAUUAAUUUUUACGUUUGGAUACACUACAUGGAAGUUCUACACUUAAUUCAUAUUCCCCAGACGGUAUUUGAUAUUUAAAAAAUUGAAGUGCAUAUCUGGGCUCCCUUCUUUUCUGAAGCCCCGUUUCCCCUUGACUCAUAAUAAGCCCGUAGGGGGUCAUGCCCCUACUGUACGGUAUAUAUAAAAACAACAUAUACCGAGGUUUGGAGGGCUCUGGCCGGAAAGGGGACGUGGAGGUCCGCUUAGUCCGAUGAUGUGUUCACGGAGGGCGACGUGGCUACCCACAAAUCCGAACUAAAGGUUAAUCGCUCCUGUAAAAAUGUUCCAAAUCUUCAGCUCUUCUUCCGGCUUCUCUUAGCCAAUCACCGGGUAAUCUCCCCGGUGGGUCAACAAGGCAGUGUCUCCCCCUGCCUGGGUUGACGGCAACUUUUGAAAGGGCUAUU
Long non-coding RNA from Daphnia carinata, 887 nucleotides. RefSeq lists it as uncharacterized. The transcript is spliced from 3 exons. The record is from RefSeq and is a predicted model, not a curated record. NCBI's taxonomy places the organism in Eukaryota, Metazoa, Arthropoda, Branchiopoda, Diplostraca, Daphniidae.